AUACCCUAUGCAGACACUUUAAAUUGAGCAGCCAAAUAUAAUCAGAUUUUGUCCGUUUCCAAACGAGCAGCAAUUUCUCAUAGUGCAACCUGCUCAAAUCCCAACCCAACCAAACAACAACACAGAAGAGGAGAACAUGAUCAAAGACAGAUGGGAAGGGCAUUAGUUUAUUUUGUGUAUUUAUUCUCGGAAUGCGUGACAUCUUAGCCGCGACACUUGAAGCGUUCGUUGCUAGUGAGGCUAGGCUGGUGUGUGUUUUCGACUGAUCGUGUCCGAACAAGGACGUCUGAAACUUGAAGGGAAUGGCCAACGCCAGAGCUACGACCUUUAACAACGUUUGGAACUUCCUUGGAGGCAGUCUGGGUCUUCAGGGGCAUGAAAAGGCUCUCAAAAAUGCCCUCUACAAUGCCCUGGCUAUGCUCUUACUGGUUGUCUGCUGUGCAGCCUUCUAUGCAUUGGUGUUCGUUCUGGACCCAUUCCUCAAACCUCUUCUGUGGGCUCUUCUCUUGGGCUCCGUCUUACAUCCUUUCAAAUACUCCCUGGUUUAUUCUGUCAAAAACUGGAUUGAUGUCCUGGAAACAAGAGGUACCCCUAUCGCUGUUGCAUUUGUCAUGAUACCUGUCAGCGCCUUUGAUCGCUUCUCCGACCGAAUUGGAGACCUGAUUUACAAGAACCUUCGAAUCAUCUUCUACCUAAGUGCAGCAUUGCCUCUCAUGCUGAUCUUGUAUGGGUACACUCCGCAAAGUUGCCUGUGUGUGCUGUGGAGAAUGGCAUAUGCUUUUUAUGCUCUUGUUAACUUUCUUGUUGGCCUUUCAACUGGCCCUGUGGUGGUGACAUACUUGUGUGGGUACUUCACUACACUAGCACUUUGGUGGAAUCCAGAUGUAUCUUAUCGUUUUUCUGCUGGAGGCUACGUAAUGUGGUGUCUUAUAGCUGGCUAUUUUGCCCGCUUUGUUGGAUCGUCUUACCAAGUUUUCGCUUUUGCUUUACUUCAGUCAGUCUAUUUGUUUGGAUAUUUUUAUGAGAGGUGGUCCGCAAGUGACAGCUACAAAGUUUCAAAAGAACGACAUUUGUCCUUAGUUGAAGCGCUGAUGAAGAGCGCCACAAGCAGCGAACAGUCAUCGGACAUAGUGAUGCCAACUCAGUCACUCCCUGUUAUACCGCGAGAAAUAGAUGCAAAUGAUUCCACUGGAUCAGAUCCCACUUCUAAGGAGCAGCCAAAAAUUACUGAUGCAGAUUCAAGCCGCAAUGCUACAGAGCGAGAUUUACAAAAUACCUCGUUAUCUGAGGUUGACGGAUCUCUUAAGCCAAGAGCACCUAGAGAGUUGGACAGUCACUUGAGAGCACAGGCUGUCAGUGCUGUUCGGCCAACAAGCCUGAGGGCUCCACCUCCGGAAAGUGAUAGAAUAACCAGUGAGAAGUGCCUGUAUGUGUUGGGUUGGACUUGUCUGGCGGUUUUCAUUUGGAACCACAUGUGGCUUCUUCAUUUCCUACCUGUCACUAUAAUUGUGUACCUGAUAAAAAAUCUAGGACAUUAUUUUGGUGUAUGGAAGUGGAUGAGUGCAAACUUUGAGAUUCUUCUGUCGUCCUUGAGUCAGUGGAGUGCAGUCAGGAAAGAAGCACUCUGUCCACCAUUUGUUGCAGGCCUUAUGAAAAUUCAAAUUUCUCUUCGGCAACAAAUUCUUCAUUCCCUGCGGGACUCGGUGGAUUCGGCUGCCAGUGUGCUUGUCAUUUUGGCUUUGCUCGUCUUCCUUCUCAGCACAACCAUCUUCAUUACAGUCAAUGUGUAUGCAGAAGGUAUCCACCUGGUUCAUGUAGCUGGUAAUGCUAUUAACAACACUCUGAGCAAUAACCAAGAAAUCUUGGCCUUGCUUCCUGAGGGAGUUCAGGAAAAGCUGCAUCUUGUAUUGGACAAUGCUUAUUUAUAUGGCCGUCAAAGUAUAUCCAGUAUGGUACAUGCAAUGCUGAAAAAUGCAGAUGCCGACAAAGCUGACCUUCUGGAACAGAGAGUCCUUGAGUUGUGGGAUCGCAUUUACCAAGCGUGGAUGAUGACAUCAACUGAUGUUCCAGGUGCGAUGGGGCCUAGAGUGUCCUCAAGUGCAGUGUACGCAAGUUGGGAGAGCUUUCUGGAUGGUGUAAUGAAAACUCCAGAAUUACUGAACCUUGAUGGGCUAAUGCAGUUUGGAAAGGAGAAUGUUGGCAUGCUUUCAUCUCUUCUUGAGUCACUCUGGGACAUUUUAAAAGGAAAUGUAAGCCUUCUCUUCCAGUCAUCGGUGACAAUAUUUUCUGUUGUUCUUGGAGGAGGCUCAGCUGUAAUUAACUUUAUAAUCAAUUCAGUUGUUUUCUUUACUGCAUUGUUUUAUCUGCUAAGUUCAAGUGGAAGCUUGUAUCGCCCUGUCGAACUUGUUGCAAGUGUUAGCCCAAGCAGUGGAAAUCAGAUUGCCACUGCAAUAGAUGGAGCAGUGGGUGAUGUCUUUCGUGCUUCCUUCAAGAUGGCAGUGUUCCAUGGCCUGUGGGCCUGGUUAAUUCACACACUUUUUGGAGUUAAAGUGGUUUAUUUACCAUCAGUACUUGCCUCCAUACUGGGGGUUGUGCCAUUCCUUGGAACCUACUGGGCUUGCAUUCCAGCUGUUUUAGAAUUAUGGCUUGCUCAGGGACAGUCCAUGCUUGCAGUGUCCAUGAUUCUUGCAUUUUACAUUCCAACUUCAUGGGUUAAUGGCCUGGUCUAUGAAGAAAUAAAAGGGGGUCACCCAUACCUUACUGGCUUAUCUGUGGCUGGAGGGGUAUACUGUAUGGGUAGUGAAGGAGCAAUAUUUGGUCCUUUGUUACUUUGCUGUGUGUUUGUUGCGUUAAAUAUUUCUUCAACACUGAUGAAGGAGCCUUCACUCUCUCAUAUGAACCCUCUCAACAUGAUAAGGUUAAACUUUGACCGCAAUUGUUCAUCAACAUGAGGGUUCCGCAUCUUUCUUCUAUCUACAACCUGUUCAGAAAUUCAUAAACCAAACAGAAUACUUUGGCAGUGUGCAUUCUUGACUUGCUUAUGACAUAUUUCUUUUCAACUGAAUAAUUCAGUUGAAAUAGCCUGGCUGUGGAAAACCUAAUUACUGCGGCCCUCCACCCCUGCGUCGCCGGGACACUUUGCUGUGAGCCUAAUAGGGCAAAUGUGCUUAAGCUGAUGCGGACUCUCUAGUCAUACCGAACUUGCAUCCUACUAUUAUGCUUCUCUAGUCAUUUUGGGUACUGCACGGAAAAAAAUAUUGGGGUUCAGAAGUUGAAGUCAAAUUGUACUAACAAUUCUAGUGUUCAUGACAUAAAAAUUUAGUUAAGUGCCUCUUCAGUAAGUGCUAGGGUUCUUCUUGAAUCUCAUUUUUAGAAUCGUAACAACUAAUCUGCUCAUGUGUCCAUUAGCAUAGUUUGGUUUUGUUCAUCCUCUCUUUUUUUCAAUCUACCUCUUCCACUAGUUCUAUCAUCUUUCCAUUUUUCUCUUCUAUGUGGAAACACAAACUACAUUCCUUCAGGCAAUAACAUUACCUCAAAGGAUUUUCUUCUUGCUAUUCCAUUUCUAUCAAACUCCACACACUUCCAUGGGACCACAAAGAAGGUGUUUCAUUUGACUCUCAGUGUUAUUUUUGUUUUAGUUUUUGUAAAACAAUAAUUAUCAAUUUUCUAUGUUGAAGAACAUGUUAAAAAUAGGGUAUUCUUUGUACUUUUGUAUCUACGGUAAUAGGAAUAGAGAUGUAGAAGGCGCUACAGACUGUUUCAUCGGGUAAUUUAUUUAACUUAUGAUUAUAAAAUUAAUGAUCUAAUGAGUUACUUAAUUUUUAAAAAUUGCUUUUGUAUCAAGCUAAUAAAUCUGUGAUUGCCUUUUA
This 3869-nucleotide unclassified non-coding RNA is filed under the name Thrips palmi. RNAcentral describes it as "transmembrane protein 245, transcript variant X1". Lineage: Eukaryota; Metazoa; Arthropoda; Insecta; Thysanoptera; Thripidae. The record is from RNAcentral.